AAGAAAGCCUUUCUGCGCAGAAGAUGAGGAAGAAGUUGUGCCUAAGAAAUUAAAACCCUCUGCCAAACACACAGAAACAAAAGCAACUAAAGAGGUCCAGCAAGUUAAAGAGAGUCCAGUCAAACCUAAAGAGAAAAAAGUGACCUCUGCUUUUGAUUUCUUUGGUUCAACUUCAGUGGAAAGGGAAUCCAGGAAAACAUUUGCUAAUAAA
Stylophora pistillata is the source of this 211-nucleotide long non-coding RNA. NCBI's taxonomy places the organism in Eukaryota, Metazoa, Cnidaria, Anthozoa, Scleractinia, Pocilloporidae. The record is from RefSeq and is a predicted model, not a curated record.